This 154-nucleotide ribosomal RNA is filed under the name Salmonella enterica subsp. enterica serovar Infantis. RNAcentral's name for it is "partial 16S ribosomal RNA". It matches the Rfam family "Bacterial small subunit ribosomal RNA", at positions 1 to 150 of the family's 1533-position model. Lineage: Bacteria; Pseudomonadati; Pseudomonadota; Gammaproteobacteria; Enterobacterales; Enterobacteriaceae. RNAcentral also lists the same sequence under 7 other names. The record is from RNAcentral.
AAAUUGAAGAGUUUGAUCAUGGCUCAGAUUGAACGCUGGCGGCAGGCCUAACACAUGCAAGUCGAACGGUAGCACAGAGAGCUUGCUCUCGGGUGACGAGUGGCGGACGGGUGAGUAAUGUCUGGGAAACUGCCUGAUGGAGGGGGAUAACUAC